UCACGAGUCCGAAGAAUCCCCUCGAGCACAGGAAGAAGAAAACCCAAACAAACCGAGCGAAAAAUCCAACCUUUCCUUCGAUUCAGCAGCUCUCGAUUCCGCGGAGAACAGCCAUGGCCUCCGAGUCCACCAACAACGACGCCCCGAUCGCCAACAACAACCAGCCCACCGCGGUAAGAGAUGGCCUGUUCUUGGAUUUCCCCCCGAUUCGCUUCGGUUUGUUGCGGUUCCUCGGGGUGCUGAUUUGAUUUCCGUGCGCGCAGGAGGAGGAGGUGAGGGUUGAGAAGGCGGCGACGACCCAGGAGGAGGAGGAGAGGCUGCGCUACCUCGAGUUCGUGCAGCAGGCGGCGGCGCAGGCGCUGGUGCUGGCGGCCGCGGCGUACGCGUACGCCAAGCAGGGCGCGGGGCCGCUCCGCCCCGGGGUCGACCACGUCGAGGGAACCGUCAAGGCCGUCGUCGGGCCCGUCUACGACCGCUUCCACGCCGUCCCGCUCGACCUCCUCAAGUUCCUCGACCGCAAGGUAAGGAGGAGGGCAUUUCUUUGUUGUCUGUUUUAAUUCAUCUUGGUCAAAUUUGAUCGCCUGACGUGAUUGGGAGCGAGAAAUUGGUUGUUGAGUUUCAUUCUGCGUGGUGUACUGGUGUGUGACCCCAAAUUUGUAGGUUUCAGGAUGAAAUUUGUACAAUUAACAUGUUAGAACGUUUUGGAUGCAUGGUUUGCAGUUUCUUCAGAGACUUAGUUUCAGGGUGCUGGGGUUUAGUUAGUUCUUUAGAGGUGUGCAUGAUUGAAUCAACCUAGCACAAGUUAAGUUAUGGUUCCUGAUAAAAGAAUACGAUGCAGAAUCUAACAACCUUGCAGCUUGAUACAAUUGGCAGGCAGUUUUGCCCUCUGAAUUAGACAACCUUUUUUAUUUAUUGAUUUAUUUGAAUUAGACAACCUAUAGAGUUGAAUCAGACAAUCCUGACUUCUGAGACUUCAAUACCACAAACACCGAGACUAUGGAAUACCUUUUAUGCAUUGUACAUGUGCAGAUUCAUGUGGUUCAUGGUCAUGAAUGAUAGCUAUGCAAUUUAGCCGUGAUGCUGACUCACUUCAUGGUUAAGGAAAAUUAACAUUUUUCAGUAAUGCUAUAAAUUUGGUCACGGUGAUCAGAUAUUAUGUUGUGGUCAGUCUAUUCACUAUUCAGGAACUAUAUUUUUUUCAGUAGGAAAAAUUUACGCCUGAAGUUGUUGCAUUUUGUUUGAGACUACUAAUGCAGUUGGCCCUUGCAGGUUGGUGAGUCUGUUGAGGAAAUCGACCGCCGCGUCCCUCCAGUGGUGAAGGAAGCCCCCACCCUCGCCCGCUCUGCUGCCAAGGAGGUCCGCCAGGCCGGUCUGGUGGGCACAGCCACUGGCCUCGCCAAGUCUGCCAUCGCUCGUGCUGAGCCCAAGGCCAGGGAGCUCUACACCCGCUACGAGCCCGUGGCAGAGCGCCGCGCCGCGGAGGCCUGGGUGGCCCUGAACCGCCUCCCACUGGUGCCCUCGGUGACCAGGGCGGUCCUCCCCACUGCUGCGCAGCUGUCGGCCAAGUACAACUCCGCGGUGCGCGACGGUGCCAAGCGCGGGAGCACCGUGGCCACCUACCUCCCGCUGGUGCCCACCGAGCGGCUCGCCCGGGUGUUCCCGUACCCCACGGCAGACACUGCCCCGGCGCCGGAGAUGCAGCCCAUCCCGUCGCAGUAGAAGAUGAGAGUUGGACCACCUGCCUCGGAAUUGCAUCAACGAUUAUCAAU
Molecule: long non-coding RNA, 1769 nt
Filed under: Setaria viridis
Lineage: Eukaryota; Viridiplantae; Streptophyta; Magnoliopsida; Poales; Poaceae
Description: long non-coding RNA (SVIR_LNC002534)
Source: RNAcentral